AGCGUAGGUGGCCUAACAUGUCAACUGUGAAAACCCGGAGCUCAACUCCGGACUUGCAGUUGAAACUGGUAGGCUUGAGGACGGUAGAGGAAGACGGAACUGCCAGUGUAGGGGUAAAAUCCUUAGAUAUUGGCAGGAACGCCGGUGACGAAGGUGGUUUUCUGGGCCGGUUCUAACACUGAUGCUCGAAAGCCAGGGGAGCGAACG
RNAcentral lists this ribosomal RNA (207 nucleotides) under uncultured Mesotoga sp. RNAcentral's name for it is "partial 16S ribosomal RNA". It matches the Rfam family "Bacterial small subunit ribosomal RNA", at positions 568 to 774 of the family's 1533-position model. Lineage: Bacteria; Thermotogati; Thermotogota; Thermotogae; Kosmotogales; Kosmotogaceae. The record is from RNAcentral.